Long non-coding RNA from Bombus huntii, 3265 nucleotides. RefSeq lists it as uncharacterized. NCBI's taxonomy places the organism in Eukaryota, Metazoa, Arthropoda, Insecta, Hymenoptera, Apidae. The transcript is spliced from 2 exons. The record is from RefSeq and is a predicted model, not a curated record.
UUCCCUUACUUUCGGAAGGAGGGCUAUACUCGACGAAUCCGAUGAUCGCGUGUCUUUGGACACACCCCAUCAUAGUUUUCCUCUGUGGCAUCAUUGGGACGAAGAUUCAUUCUUUCUGGAGAUCUCAUCGACGAAGGGAGUAGCGCCUUACGAUCAGUGAGUAUUACACGUUUGAGUUAGAUUUUGUGAGCAAGUAUAUCUAUUAUCCCGUUGACCGUGGAUUCAUUAUCGAACCUAAGACCAUUAUCACUAGUGUCGUGAGUGCCUAAUCGCCGCUGUUGAUUGUCGAAUCGGUAGUGUUCAUACUCGUAGUAUCAGGCCGUAUCUUCGUUCUAACACAACGAUGGCCAACUCCAAGGGAGAUCUAUCAAACGCCCACAACCCUGUUCCUGACUCUUCUCCGACAUAUAUAAUUGUAUAUUAUAUAUUAUAUAUUAAAUGCGUAUUAUUUAUAUUUGUUGAAAAUGACAACGUGAGUUCGUGCUCGCCAUCCAUAUGCAGAUGCGUUAGUUAUAAAAAAUAGUAACUAGAGAAUGAUCCUAGUUACAAUCGAUAGAAUUAAUCGAUAGGCUUAAGAUGCUUUUUUGUUCUUAUCCCUAGUUUUUGUAAGCGCGUGCAAUAAAGGUUUUUUUUCGGCUCAGAACGGUGUGAUAGAUUUAUCCAUUCAAUAAAAUAACUAUUCUGAUCCUACCUCUAAGUAUAGAAAUAACAACAGGUUAUGGGCCCAGGUGCAAUAAUUAGUUAUUAUUUUUAUUGAAAAUAUUAUUAAUAGUAAUAAUAUUGAGGAGCGCAGAAGAUAACCUAAAAAAAAAAAAAAAAAAAGGGGGUGCGUGAUCGAUGAUUCAGUGUUGAAUAUCAUAAGGACGCUUUAUCGAGUAUACAAUAAUUUUUUACGUGAUAAUACAGUUAUCAAAAGAAAAAAAAAAUGUCGAGCGGGGCGAGUUUAAGUAUUGAAAAACUAAAUAAAGAAAAUUACGACACAUGGAAAUUGCAAAUGGAAGCAAUACUCAUUAAAGAUGACUUGUGGGGAUAUGCAAAUGGUUCAAUAAUUAAACCGGAAGCAGCGGAUGAAGCCUCUUUAUGGAAUAAAAGGGAUGAUAAAGCCAGAGCCGAUAUUAUUCUUACCAUAAGUUCGAGUGAGCUAUGUCAUGUGAAGCAUUGCAAAAUUUCACAUGAAAUGUGGAAUAAAUUAAAGGAGGUUUACGAAUCCAAAGAACCCGCAAGAAAAGGUACGCUUUUGAAGCAAUUAUUAUUCACGAAAAUGUCCGGUAGUGAAAAUAUGUCCGAUCACUUAAAUAAUUUUUUCAGCCACGUGGAUAAAUUAAAAGAAAUGGAUAUUCCAAUCGCUGAUGAUUUAUUGUCAAUUCUAUUAUUAUAUAGCGUCCCGAAUACAUACGAAAAUUUUAGAUGUGCAAUCGAAUCGCGGGACCAAUUACCUACUCCAGAUGCGCUUAAGAUAAAAUUAUUAGAACAAGCUAAUUCUCGUCAUAAUUCAAAUAUUGUGAAUGAUCACUAAGAAGCUCUACAAGUGGAAGAUUCAAAUAAACACAAAAGGUAUGAUAAAAAUAGAAAUUUUUCUAAUAAAAAUAGAUUUAUUAAAAGCUAAUAAAGUAAAACACAUUGAAUGUUUUUAUUGUCACAAACGUGGACAUAAGGCAAAUCAGUGUUUGAAGAAGAAAAACGAUGAUCACAAAGCUCAACUAGCACAAGUUCCUGAAAUACCCAAAACUGAACAAUGCUUGCGUGCUUCCAAUAUUCAGGAUGAAGAUAAUCAGGAUAAUAGUAUUAUUACUGAUGUUUCAUUGAAUAUAAACAUGGAACCACCGAUGGAAUGGUACAUUGACAGCGGUGCUACGUUACAUAUGUGGGAUGGUGUAACGUCAGGGAAGGACGUGGCUGAUUGUUUAUAAACGUUGUCAAGAUAUGUUAAUGUUGUCAAGGAGUGUUGUGAGCGUUACCAAGGUUUGUUAAGGGAAAAAUGAGCGUGGUAAAUGCUGUCAGAGUUGAAUUAAUCGUGGUCGAGAGAAGUUCAUCGUGUUGCUGUGACGUAGAAUUAGUGAGAAGCGAAUUCGUGAAAUGCGAUAUUAUAUUCGAUUCUGUGAGAGUGCAACGAUAUUGUGUUUAUCAUACUGUUUUUUCUGUUAAUUUAUAAUAUAACAUUCCUACACAUAUGUGAUGUGACAUAAACUGUUUUGAAUCCAUAGAGCCAGUCAGAAAUCAAAAAGUAAAAUUAGCGAAUGACAAAUUAGCUGAAGUCAAAGGUAAAGGUACUGCAAUAUUAUUUAGUUAUAUAAAAAACAAACUUGAGAAAUUUAGAUUGGAAAACGCAUUAUACGUACCAGAAUUAAAGGCAAAUUUGAUCUCAGUAUCAAAAGUUACCGCAAAUGGAAAAAGGAUUGUAUUUACAAAUAGAAUGGCUACAAUAUUUGGAAAGAAGGAUGAAGUCGUUAUUACUGCUAUUCGUAAAAGGGAUUUAUAUAUUGUAGAUACAAAAUCCAAAUAUAUUGGUAUGGUAUAUGAAAACAGAAAUACACUUAUGGAUUGGUACUAUCGAUAUGGACACUUAAAUGAAUCUGAUCUUUGGAGAUUAAUAAAUAAAAAUAUGGUAAAUGGUCUACCUAACAUAAGAUUGAGUAAAAUGAAUACUUGCGAAAUAUGUAGGCAGCAACCUCGAUGCCAAAGAGAUCUGAAUUAAAGAUGUUGGAAAAAUUAGAACUGAUACAUUCUAAUGUAUGUGGCCCUAUAAGACAAACAUCUUUGGGUGGAGCAAAGUAUUUUGCCACCUUUAUUGAUGACACGUCAUAUAUAAUCUGUAAAUCGUAACUUGUCAAUCUACUAGUACUUACAUUAUAAAUUGGUAAACUUUUGUGUGUGUGUUGAGGGGAGGGGGGAGUGCUAGAUAUAACACUGAUGCGACAUUUUGAAAAAUAUUUAAUUAUAAUCAUGAAAGGCGUUAUUGAAAUAUUGAAUUCUUAUUAAUGUUCCUUGCAACUUCAAUUUUGCGUAUCAUAUUUAAAAUGUACAUAAGAUGUAAAGUAUAUUGACAAGUAACAGUCACAAAAUUGUUUCAAAUGAGGAUAAUCAUCCUAAUAUCAACUUAUCAAUUGUGAUCUGAUAAGCAAAAAUUCAAAAUACAGUUAAACUGUGUUCUACAUACAAUAAUCUUUUUCGGAUGAGAUUUAAAUAUAUGAACAUAUUGUGAUAUUUUGUCCAUAAUAACAUGAAUAAUACAAAGUUUCGUAUUACAUAUACUAUAUUUUUUAAU